This is a long non-coding RNA of Oncorhynchus tshawytscha (Chinook salmon), 974 nucleotides long. RefSeq lists it as uncharacterized. The transcript has 3 exons. The record is from RefSeq and is a predicted model, not a curated record. NCBI's taxonomy places the organism in Eukaryota, Metazoa, Chordata, Actinopteri, Salmoniformes, Salmonidae.
UCGAGGACAUUGUGCUAUUGACUUCUGCUAAAACAGUAAAACGCAUCUCCUGUUCAGCACCAUUUAGUCCAUCAUUGUGGACAGGAGUGGUUACCGGUAGUACAGACUGAGGCAAGAACCUGUGUUUUGCUUGCCUGGUCAAUCAGACUGACUGCUACGCUCACAUUUCAUUUAAAUGGGUGUAGUGAAGCCCUGGGCUACUUCCUCACGCUGACAUCAGAGAGCCACCGGGAAGCCUGGACCAAUCUCUUCCUCACCAAGGUGGUGAAGAUCAGCAAUGACAGGUUCAAGGCCCAUGCAUCCAGAUACUACCCACUCCACUGUGAGAUCAUGCAGUUUGACCUGAUCCCAGAACUCCGGGCCGUGCUGCGUAAGUUCUUUCAACGCCUUCGACAUUUCACUGCUGCCGUCCCAGAGCGGAGCUAGGGCUUGCUGGAAGCUAGUGACAUCAUCACUAGUGGACCAGGACCAGCACAGGAUACAGGCUCCAAAGACAGUCCCUCUCUGGGGUGGGAGAGGGAAAGUUUGCAUUCCGAAUGGCACCCUAUUUCCUAUAUAGUGCACUAUACAGGGGAUAUGGUGCCAUUUGGAACACAGAUGCUGUUUAACACUCUGCCCCUGAGGGCCGCAAGGAAUUCUUAAAGCGGACUGGUUAGCUGAAAGUGACAGGGCCCGCAGAAAGGUACUGGAAGCUCCUCCAUGCUGCACACAGUGAUAGUGUAGUGAGUGGGGCCCACAUAAGCACUGAAUGACUGGCUGCAGUAUGGCAUAGAAAUAUCAUACUAAUGAUCAGAAUAACAAUGCAAUUAUUUUACUAAUUUCUUGCUGUCUGACCAACAUUAUGGAGGGUGUGUUUUUUGCCUAUCUCUUGGAAUUCUUUUAUGAAACUGAGGUGUGAAAAGGAUGAGCAACGUUAAUGAUUUUUUUUUUUACUGUAACAUUUAAAUUAAAACAAUUUGAAUUUGCAAACUAAU